Molecule: long non-coding RNA, 754 nt
Filed under: Felis catus (domestic cat)
Lineage: Eukaryota; Metazoa; Chordata; Mammalia; Carnivora; Felidae
Description: lncRNA (ENSFCAG00000043623.2)
Source: RNAcentral
AGAAAAAGGGGUUGGUGGUGGUUAGAAAUUUAGACUCACAGGUGGUCGUGCAAAUCGUCCAUUCAACACAGUAUAGGGUGUGUGUGCAGGAAUAUUUAGACGUUCCUUCAUCUACAGAAAUCAGCUAAUGCUUCAAAAGUUCUUUCACCGUUGUAAUUAGCUGAAAUUUGUGUCCCUGUGACUUUCACCAGUGUCUCCUGGUUGUGUCCUGGGGAGCCACCCAGAAUCUGUCUAAGCUGUUUUCCCUGAUCCAUACCUGCUUUUUUCUUUGAACUUCUUUAGCAUUUACUGUUGGCACCCCUCCAGGCAAUUAUCAUAAGUUACCCUGUAUUAUUAUUUAUUUCUCUUUAUAAGUAGAUCUUGUCUCCCCAUCCAGACAGUCUGGUCUACCCUCUUAUCUCUGAGCAGACUGUAUGUAAACCACAGUUUAGUAAAGAAUAUGAUUUGAAGAAGAGGGUGGAAGAUUUUGGAGCAACAUUUCUCCCAUUUGUUGCAUACAUGGAACAUCAGUCUGGCCACUACACCCAAGAGAGCCAGAGUCUCCCCUAUGCUUCCCGAAUGAAGGCAGAGGAAGACAGAAGGAAGAGAGAGAGAAGACAGAGGGCAAGUCUGGCUGAGCAGGCCUCCUCAGGCCCUUGAAGGCGGGCCGCCGACUUUGGGGAGAAUGAACCCAAAUGGGCCACCAGCCGAUCCCCAGAGGGAGUCCUGUCUCUGCCGCAGCACCAGCUCCAGCCCCACAAAUAGAUGCCAGCUC